Molecule: ribosomal RNA, 496 nt
Filed under: uncultured bacterium
Lineage: Bacteria
Description: partial 16S ribosomal RNA
Rfam family: Bacterial small subunit ribosomal RNA
Source: RNAcentral
GAUGAACGCUGGCGGCGUGCCUAAUACAUGCAAGUCGAGCGAACAGACGAGGAGCUUGCUCCUCUGACGUUAGCGGCGGACGGGUGAGUAGCACGUGGAUAACCUACCUAUAAGACUGGGAUAACUUCGGGAAACCGGAGCUAAUACCGGAUAAUAUAUUGAACCGCAUGGUUCAAUAGUGAAAGACGGUUUUGCUGUCACUUAUAGAUGGAUCCGCGCCGCAUUAGCUAGUUGGUAAGGUAACGGCUUACCAAGGCAACGAUGCGUAGCCGACCUGAGAGGGUGAUCGGCCACACUGGAACUGAGACACGGUCCAGACUCCUACGGGAGGCAGCAGUAGGGAAUCUUCCGCAAUGGGCGAAAGCCUGACGGAGCAACGCCGCGUGAGUGAUGAAGGUCUUCGGAUCGUAAAACUCUGUUAUUAGGGAAGAACAAAUGUGUAAGUAACUAUGCACGUCUGGACGGUACCUAAUCAGAAAGCCACGGCUAACUACGU